This 1234-nucleotide ribosomal RNA is filed under the name metagenome. RNAcentral's name for it is "bacterial LSU rRNA". It matches the Rfam family "Bacterial large subunit ribosomal RNA", at positions 1564 to 2808 of the family's 2925-position model. The record is from RNAcentral.
UGAAUACGAGACGCUACGGCGUUGAAGCAGUCUAUGUCAUACUUCCAAGAAAAGCUUGCAAUGUCAUAAACAAAUAACGCCUGUACCAUAACCGACACAGGUGGGUAGGUAGAGUAUACUAAGGGGCGCGAGAUAACUCUCUCUAAGGAACUCGGCAAAAUGACUCCGUAACUUCGGGAGAAGGAGUGCCUUAUUUAUAAGGUUGCAAUAACAAGAUCCAAGCAACUGUUUAUCAAAAACACAGGUCUCCGCUAAGUCGUAAGACGAUGUAUGGGGGCUGACGCCUGCCCAGUGCCAGAAGGUUAAAGAAGUUGGUUAGCAUUAGCGAAGCUGAUAACUGAAGCCCUGGUGAACGGCGGCCGUAACGAUAACGGUCCUAAGGUAGCGAAAUUCCUUGUCGGGUAAGUUCCGACCCGCACGAAAGGCGUAAUGAUUUGGAUACUGUCUCGGAGAGGGACUCGGUGAAAUAGACUUGUCUAUGAAGAUGCGGACUACCUGCACCUGGACAGAAAGACCCUAUGAAGCUUUACUGUAACUUGAAAUUGAAAUUGGACUUUAUUCGCGCAGUAUAGGUGGGAGGCGUUGAGAAUAUUCUUGCGGGAAUGUUGGAGCCAUCAGUGAGAUACCACUCUUGUAAUGUUAGAUUUCUAACUUUGCAUCAUUAUCUGGUCAAAGGACAGUUUCAGGCGGGCAGUUUGACUGGGGCGGUCGCCUCCUAAACGGUAACGGAGGCGUACAAAGGUUUCCUCUGAACGGGUAGAAAUCGUAUCUAGAGUGUAAAGGCAUAAGGAAGCUUGACUGUGAGACCUACAAGUCGAGCAGGGACGAAAGUCGGUCUUAGUGAUCUGACGGUGCUGAGUGGAAAGGCCGUCACUCAACGGAUAAAAGUUACUCUAGGAUAACAGGCUGAUCUCCCCCAAGAGUUCACAUCGACGGGGAGGUUUGGCACCUCGAUGUCGGCUCAUCGCAUCCUGGGGCGGUAGUACGUCCCAAGGGUUGGGCUGUUCGCCCAUGAAAGCGGUACGCGAGCUGGGUCCAGAACGUCGUGAGACAGUUCGGUCCAUAUCCGGUGUAGGCGUUAGAAUAUUGAGAGGAGCCUUCUUUAGUACGAGAGGACCGAGAAGGACAUACCUCUGGUGUACCAGUUAUCGUGCCAACGGUAAACGCUGGGUAGCUAUGUAUGGAGAGGAUAACCGCUGAAAGCAUCUAAGUGGGAAGCCCACCUCAAGAUAAG